GACGAACGCUGGCGGCGUGCUUAACACAUGCAAGUCGAACGGAAAGGCCCUGCUUGCAGGGUACUCGAGUGGCGAACGGGUGAGUAACACGUGGGUGAUCUGCCCUGCACUUCGGGAUAAGCCUGGGAAACUGGGUCUAAUACCGGAUAGGAGCCAUUUUUAGUGUGAUGGUUGGAAAGUUUUUUCGGUGUAGGAUGAGCUCGCGGCCUAUCAGCUUGUUGGUGGGGUAAUGGCCUACCAAGGCGGCUACGGGUAGCCGGCCUGAGAGGGUGGACGGCCACAUUGGGACUGAGAUACGGCCCAGACUCCUACGGGAGGCAGCAGUGGGGAAUAUUGCACAAGGGGCGCAAGCCUGAUGCAGCGACGCCGCGUGGGGGAUGACGGCCUUCGGGUUGUAAACUCCUUUCGCUAGGGACGAAGCUUUUUGUGACGGUACCUAGAUAAGAAGCACCGGCUAACUACGUG
This 465-nucleotide ribosomal RNA is filed under the name uncultured bacterium. RNAcentral's name for it is "partial 16S ribosomal RNA". It matches the Rfam family "Bacterial small subunit ribosomal RNA", at positions 28 to 507 of the family's 1533-position model. The record is from RNAcentral.